CGAGGGGCUCGAGUUGGGUCUGCAGUGGGCACAGGACCUAGUUUUGUACAGUUAAUGGUGGGUUUGAGUAAAGGCGGGGGAGGGGGGCGGUGGGAAGGAAGGAAGCUCCCUUUAUUCCUUUCCCAACGGACCUGAAGGAGGCUUCAUUGAAUUGAGCGCCCCUGGCUUGUAGAGCAGGAGGAGGAGGCAUUUCAUGGACAGCAUUGGCUGAGAGUUCGAGAUCAUCUCGGAAUGCCAGAAAUGUGGGUUGGGUCGUGAGGUCUCUGAAGACAGUGGGUGAGCCUCCAGUAUAAGGCGCUGCGUCCUUUUGGUAGAGAGCUGGCAGAAGUCCGAGUGUUUGUUGCGCGGCUAGGCCAGCCUGUGCGCCCAUCAGAAGCGCUAGCGAGGGCAGGGUAGCCCGGAGUGAACCGCAUGUUCAGCUGUGUACUCCGAGUUAAACUGUUUUUCUGCAAACUUUGCUUGAGCCGGUGACUCUGGAAUUGGGGAAAGGGUUACCCUAGGUGGCGGAUAUUUGUAGGAGACACAGAGGUAAGGACCAACUGUUAGGAAUGUGUGAAAAGUGGUUUCCUCCAACUGUAAAAGUGGAAUAAAAACAAUACCUAUCUUAUGGGGGGGCAGUGAGGAGUAAUGAGUUUGAUAUAUGUCAAGCUCUUAAAACUACGCAGAGACUCCAUCUCAAACAAACAGAAAAAUCAACCUUGCCCAUCAUAAGCACUGUUUAAACGUUAGUUGUUAUCUUUUAAAACUAUUAUUGGAUGCUUAAUAUGAAUGAGUAAAACUUGUCAAAGAAAUAUGGCGUUAGAGCCCAGAAGAAAUAAAGUUUAUAAAGGGCUUCCAUAGAAAGACUAAAUGCGUGGAAUUUGGUAAAAAUCUUGAAAAAACUUAGUAGGUAUAGAUAUUCAAUGAUUCAGUAAAUGUUUCCGGAGCAUUUAUCACGUGCCCGCUACUGUUGGAGCUCAGAGAAUGGUUCCUAUGCAGUUUACGUUCUAGUAAGAGAGCGAGGCCCGAUAACCCUGGGAGAGGACGGAUCUCAGGGACCGCGAGAUGGGAAGGCAUUGUAGCAGGAGCUGAAAAGUACAGAGUGAAAGGAGGUAUUCUGGGAUUGCAUUGGGACUUGAAGGGGACAUAAUGGGAGUGUAGGGGCGUGGGGUUAGCACAAGGGGAGCCUCAACUGGCUUACUAAGACAUUUACCUCAAUGAUAGGGGUCAACCACUGUAGGGUUUUGUUUUUUUUUAAGAACACGUAAGUAACAACACUAGGUUUUGUAGGUUUUUGAAAGCUCAUGGCUGAACCUGAGUUUUUGGAUAGGUGGGGAGCAUAAAAUAAUACCUAAUGUUUAUUGAGUCCGCACUGUAUGUUGGGCAUGGAUAGUUUUAAGUAUUUCUCAUAACUCUAUAUGAUGAAUACUACUGUUAUCCCCAUUUUGCAGUUGAGGAAAGUGAGACACGGAUUACUUUACUCAAGGUCUCACAGCUGAGAAUGUGGGAACCCGCUUGGAGCCCUUCUUCUGAAUUAUGCCUGACUCCUACUUGUAGUCUGGUUGAAGAGUUAAGAUUAGCACACUCAACAGAGAUAGAAAACAGUUGUUCAGCCUAUAAUAAAGUGCUGAAUUUUGUGGGCAAACUUUACAUAAACUCUUUCCUUAGCUGGUCUUGAGAGAAAAAUUAAAUCAUAUUCUAUUUAUUUCAUUUUCAUCUUUUUAUGACACAAAACAUAAGUGAUGACACAAAAAUCACCCACAGUUUUACUGUUACUGGAGAAAACGUAAUCGUUUUCAUUCUUAGUUUAAAAUCAAAGCAUUUGGAAUUUAUUACUGGAAUGUAUUUUCUUUCCUUCCACUUCCGGCCUCUCUGUGUGAUGACCCUCAUUCCCAGCACUUCUAACUAGCUCUCAUUGGGACACUGGAGUCCUCAUGCUUGCCCCAUUGACAUGAGCUUUCAAUGUUCCAGCUAGAUAGGCCCCAGUCAUUUAGAAAGCAAUUUGGUUUGGGAGGUGUUGAAAUAAAGAACAGGAAAAGCAAUUCUCUGCAGAGAGAAUUUGGUUUACUUUUCUAAAAAUACAACAAACCCAUCCACUCUUACCCUGGCAGAUGCCUCCCCUGUUAUAGAGAAAUGUCUUCUUUCUUCCUCCUUCACAUCAUUGCACACCUGAUGAAGUCAAUCAGGGUAAUUAAAAAACAAAAGCAAAACAAAGAAACUGGGCAGUUGCUGAAGGCAGGGGAGGAGAGUGGACAGGCCUGCUACGUGAGCCACGUAGGUGACCAGGCUGGUCUUUCCAGUCCGCCUUUCUUCUUCCUUCCUUGUGGUUUUUGAAACAAAGAAAGGUGACCUUUGCACUGUGAGCUAGAGCCUCUUCUUUCAGAGAGCAGUCAGCUCAGAGGUCACAUUUAGCGUGCACUCAAAAUGUGUGCUGAGUUGAGUUGUUGCGAGGAUUAUUUACCCUUCGGAGUGUUGCUGCUCUUUCCCGGCCUGUUUAGUGAAUGUCUGUGGCCUGGGGGAGCAGAGUCCAGCCUUUUGUUACCUCCUGAUUCAUGACUCAUUUACCACAUCUGCUGUAUGAGAGGUUGGCCUCAUUUGCCCACCCACUGAAUCCCAGAUUGUAUAUGUCAAGCAGGACACCUCUCCUUAACCCAUCUGCUUGCUCUGUGCUAAGCUUGAAAGACUGGGGUUAUACUGAGUAGCCUUUUCUUUCCCUAAAAUAGCAAGGGUCUCACUCUGUUGUCUAGGAUUAGUGCAGUGGCUGGAUCAUGGCUGACUGCAGCCUCGACCUCCCAGGCUCGAAGGAUCUUCCUGAGUAGUUGGGACUAUAGGUACGUGCUACCAUGCCUUGCUACUUUUUUAUUUUUUGUAGAGAAGGGGCCUCACUGUUACCCAGGCUGGCCUCAAACUCCUAUAGUCAAGUACUCCUAAUUCAAGCAUUUCUUAAACAAGCAUCGUGGACUUAGUACUGUGUACUAAGAAUAGGUCUAUGUAUUUGCAUUAUUUUUGUAUCCACACUAAUUUUCUCUCAUGCUCAUCCUGUACCAGGGAAUGUUCUAAGCAUCUUAGAUUCUCACAAUGUCUUUUAUAGGGUUGAUGUUUAUAGAUGACAAAACUGCGGUAGAGAGGCCAAGUGAGUUGUAGGAUGUAGUCAUUAAGAAGGCUCCCAGGGAUCCCUCCUCCGUAACAGCUUCCCUGUGAAUGAGGGCUGAUCUUGCUUUAAAUGAACAGAAUAUGGUCAAAGUGAUAGAAUGUCACUUCUGAAAUUAGGUUAAAAAAGACUAUGAAUGCCAUCUUACUGUCCCUCCGUUCCUCUUGCAUGCUGUCUUAGCUUGAGCUGCUAUAACAAAAUAUCAUAAACUAGGUGACUUAAAUAACAAACAUUUAUUUCUUAGAGUUGUGGAGGAUGGGAAGACCAAGGUCAAGGUACCACAGGUGUCUAGCAAUGGCCUGCUUCCUAGUUCAUAGAUAACAGCCUUCUCACUGAGUCCUCACAUAGCAGAGAUAGGAAGCAAGUUCUCUAAGGAUUCUUCUAAGGAUACCAGUCUUCUUUGUGAGGGCUCCACCCUCGUAACCUCCUUUAAUCCUAAUUACCUCCCAAAGACCCCACCUGCAAACACCAUUACUUUAGGGAGUACAGUUUCAGUAUGUGAAUUUUGAGGAGACACAAGUAUUCAGUCUACAACCUUCUCUAAGCCCUCUCUGUGAAUGAAGCCAGUUACCAUGUUGGGAGUAGCUCUAUGAAAAGGUCCACAUGACAAGGAACUCAUGUCUCUGGCCAACAGCCAGUGAGAACCCUGGGCUUGCCAAUAAUGAGUGAGUUUGGAAGUGGAUUCUCCCAGCCGAGCCUUGUGAUGAUUGCAACCCUGGCUCACAAGUGAUUAUGCUUGUGACACCGUGACCUAGAGGACUCAGCUGAGUUGACACACAGAAACUGUGAGAUAAUGAAUGUGUGCUGUUUUUACUUUUAUCUUUAUUUUUAGAGACAGGGUCCUGGUAUGUUGCCCAGGCUAUAGUCCAGGGGCCAUUCUCAGACACAGUCAUGGCGCACUGCAGCCUGGAACUCCCAGGCUCAAGUAAUCCUCGUGCCUCAGCCUCCCAAGUUGCUGGGAAUACAGGUGUGUGCCACUGCACCUGGCUUCAGUGUUUGCUGUUUUAAGCCAUGAAGUUCUGAGAUCAUUUGUUACACAGCAAUAUACAACUAAAACACCUGGCCCAGGUCACAAGGCUUACAUGAAAAAUGAUUUUUAAUUAUAAUACUAUUUAAAUAUAUGGAAACAAAUACAGGAAUAUGAUUUUUAUUAUCUACACCUAUAGAAACAAAAACACUGAACACCAACAAAACCAGAAUUCAUGUUCUUCUUUCUUAUUUUUAUUUAAAUCCAUAUUUUUCAGAUAAUAAUUUAAUAUGAUAGAAAAUGUGCUCAAAUGGAAUCAUCAUUUAGUUUGGAAACAACCUCAGUGUCCAUCAAUAAGAAAAAGAACUAUUAAAAACCAUCCUAUAAAAUGUUCUGCAAUUUAGAAGAGGCCUCCAAGACAAAUUAUUACAUGAAAAAAGCCACUGUGGCUGGGCACGGUGGCCCAUGCCUGUAAUCCCAGCACUUCGGGAAGCCGGGGCUGGCAGAUUGCCUGAGGUCAGGAAUUUGAGACCAACCUAGCCAACAUAGUGAAACCCUGUCUAUACUAAAAAUAAGAAAAUUAGCUGGGCGUGGUGGUGUGCACCUGCAGUCCCAGCUACUCAGGAGGCUGAGGCAGGGAGAAUCGCUUGAACCUGGGAGGAGGAGGUUGCAGUGAGCAGAAACUGUGCCAUUGCACUCCAGCCUGGGCAACAGGGUGAGACUCUGUCUCAAAAACAACAACAAAAACCACACUUCAGCCCAAAACUCCAAAAUGAUUCCAUUUCUGUAAAAAAUACCAUGUGAGGCAAAAUGACUGUAUGCUUCCAAGAGCAUAGAAAGGUCUGGAAGAAGACACUGAACUGAUGGCAGCAGCUGCCUCCGGGAAGGGGAAUGUGUGCGGAUAUGGAGUAUGGGCAGCAUACAUACUUUCUAUAUUUCUGGAGUUUGUUUUUCCUUCUCUUGUUCUUUUUUGUUCGUACAAUGAGAAUUUAUUCAUGUGUUUCUUGUAUUCUUUUUUAAAACAGUGUGUUGUCCUUGCCUUUCUGGGGGUUAUUUUAGUGAAAGAUUGAUUUAGCUGCAGGGUUGGUGCCAAAUGGGUGAUAUGUAAAGACUAGACAGCCAGAAAAGGUGGGCGUUAUACUGCUGCGGAAAGGACCUGGGGGCUUCAGUCAGGUCUGUGGGUCUGAGAGGUGACUUGCUCAAAUUAGUAUUGUAAAAAGAGUAACCCAAAGUGUGUGAGUAGAAUUUGGAGACCCCGGAAAAAAAGAAAUAGAUGGGUUGGAGGAUCUGCUGCUCCAAUGGAGGCUUCCUGGGUCAAGUAGAGUUGAAAGCUGUGAGCCAGGUUGUGACCAGUUGUCAGCUGGCCAAGAGCAAAGAUUUAUUCUGUCAGUACUGUCACAUUUGGAGGCCACAGAUAACAUCAAGCCCAGGCCUGACUUUUUGGAGAGAUAGUAGCCCAGUAGGGGAAUAACAUUAAUUAUAAAACCCUUACACAGUGCUCACUGGAUAUCAGACACUCUUUCAGGCACAUUGCAUUUAAUCCUUCUUAGAACCUUGGAAGGCUUGUGCUCUAUGAAUCCCCUUUUAUAGAUGAACAAACCUCCAAGAGGAAGUUUAAUCCCCUGUGCUAGGUCAUAUGCUGUUGUUGUACCUGAGUGAGUCAAGGAAUGUGCCACAUUUUAAGAUUGAAUUAUGAGUUCUUUAUGGAGCCGGUGACGAAGAGUGGCUAAUGCCCCAAAUUUUUUUGGCCCCGAAGAAAAAGUUAGGUGGUUUUUUAUACACUAGUUUUAACAGGGAGGGGGAACCUUGCUAAAGUAAAGUUUUUACAAAAGCAGAGUAAGCAAAAAGUUAAAAGAUAAACUGAUAUAUAAGAAAUAAAGCAGUGCCAGGUGUGAGGGGUAAAGCUGUCAUGAGAGGCAUACAACUUAUAGAUAAUGGGGGCUCUGGGCGCUCCCUGCACCUGCAUUUCCAGGCUCUGCUGACACCACUUCACUCAGCCUCUUAUCAACAAACGCAUUCCUGGGUGCCCAGUGUCAGCCUGACCCAGCUUUUAGUCUGGGAAAGGGAGAGUUAGUUUUAGCUGGCAGAAAGCAGGUUAUCGCACUGGUGAGUGGCAGAACCAUGAUUUGGAUCCAGGCUGUUUAACUGCAGUGACCAUGCUCUUAACCAGUUGGUGGUCCUGCCAGACAUCAUUUUGAAAAUCUAAUACAGUGUGAUAAACACCACAAUAGAGUUGGGAAAAGAGAGGAGGGUGAAGUUUAGCACUUCCUGGGCAAGUGUGAGGAAGACAUCAAGGAAAAGCAAGAGUAGGAAUGUGACAGCCAAAGGAGGGGGUGGAGACUGCAGUUCAGAGACAGGGGAGCACAGACGUGAAGGUGCAGAGCUCCUGAAACCUUCCCACCUGGGGGAGUCUUCUGUCCUCUCUCCUUUAGGAGCCAUCCUUGGAUCCCCACUGGCCUCCUUUCUGAACCCGCUAUGGAGGCAGAGUUGCAUACACAACAUUUCUCCCAGGACUGUUUGUUCUUAGAUCUCGAUCCCUUAGUGAGAAGGGAAGAAAGGCAGAAGGGAGAGCGUCCGGAAUAAUCUCUCUAUUCUCCAUCCCCACAUCUCUAGGUCUGACCCCCAGAGAGCCUCAUUCAUACCAGCCCAACCCAACACAGAAUGUGGAUCACUGAGAAACAGCAAAAUUGCUAUAACCUCGAGGCCUCAAAUAAUACAUUCCUUUCCUUUGACAUUAAUUUGGUCAGAUUAAAAAUCCAAUAACCUACUGUCAUUGAGUCCAAGAAAAGAGAUGGUAAUAAAAGGGAGAAUCUGACUCCAUAAUGGAAAGCAGGUGUUUUUAAAAUUGGUUCCUCCAGCUGUCUGUGCUAUAGAAAUUCCCAAAAAAAGUAGAAAAGCUGCUUCUUCCCCUUCUGUCUUCUCUGACUUGGUGAGUGGCCCUGUUAUUGCCCCAUUUGCCCGCUUGGACUCCAGGAAAUGUUCUCCAGGAGUGGAGUUCACUUCCCUCCAGCUCAGCCUAAUUCAGCGCAUCCUGCACACCUGGCGCACCACGCCAUCCCUGCUGCCCCUGCCUUCACCAAGGGCCUACACAAGUCACCUGGGAACUCUGCCUUCCACCACCUCACCAGCCUUCCCUCCUCCAGCCCGUUUCACUGCCUCCGCAGCACAGACAUAAAUAACUCUGGCAAAUGAAUAGCUGAUCUACCGUGUAAUGAGUGCCAUAGCGUUGAGUAGUAAGAUGCAAACCAUUUACCUUAUUGGGGAACUCAUCAAGUGUGAAAAUGUUCACAGUAUGCCCAGCCUUGGACUAGUUGCACUGUUUUCAGACUGCUUCAGGGGGGGCUCAUGGAAAACAAGGGUAGGCAGUGCCCACAGAUCUGAGACCCCCAGAAUCAGAAGGUGCAAACCUCCAGGAAACAGGCAACUUGUUAUCUCCGAUUAUUUGUCAGAGUCUAUUUAACCCUUCCUCUUUCUGCAAACUAGCUCUUACUGCUUUCCAGAGCAUGAGGUCACAGGUAGCCAGCCUGCAAAUUUUGAGUUUAUCAUCCUGUGUUUCAGCUGCCUCUCCUGAGGGGUGAGGCACUGCCAAAUCUCAGAUUUAAGCUCAAAUCUCAGGAGAGAGAAUCUGAUUGGACAGUUUAGAUCAGGUCACUAUUCCCAAUCCAUUAAGCUAAGGCCACACAGACAGGCUCACUGGCUGCAAACAUGGUUGCCGCAUGUCCACCCUUGUGGGUGGGUGAGAGGAAUUCUGACAGGAGCAGUUUAGGACUGACCAGAUACUACAAAAGUUGCCUAUUAUGUGUGGUUGGUUGUUUUUUGAGACAGAGUCUCACUCGGUAGCCCAGGAUGGAGUGCAGUGGCAUGAUACAUAGCUCACUGCAACCUCAAACUCCUGGGCUUAAGCGAUUCUCUUGCCUUUGCCUCUUGAGUUGCUGUUACCACAGGCACCCGCGCCACCACACUAGGCUAUUUAUUUUAAACUUUUUGUAGAGACAAGGUCUGGCUAUUUUGCCCACAUUGGUAUCGAACUCCUGGGUUCAAGUGAUCCUUCCGCUUCAGCCUCUCAAAAUCCUCGGAUUGCAGGCACGAGUCACCACACCCAGCCUAUUACGUGUUUUAAGGAAAGAUGUGACCUCUGGCUUCUUGGCACUUACGCCUCGUUGGGGAAAUUAAAUGGUAAGUUGGGGUUACUUCAAACAAAUGUAAAAUCUUUGAUUUUAUGGAAAGAAUUUGGAGUUUAUGAUGGAUGUAUUGAUCUUGAUUUUAAGGGAUCAUACAGCUUUGAGUUUUAGAGAGAAUGCUUAUUUCAAAUGAGAGGAAGAGAAGGAUCAUAGGUUCCUAAAAGGAGCGCAUGAGGGCAGUAGACGGUCCUCAAGGUGGAUUCCAUUUUGAAUGCUGAGAGGUGAGAUUAGGUGGAAAAGUGGGAACAUUCAUCAGAAGGAUUUGAACAACAAAGAGAUAAGUUUAGACUUGACUCGUUACAACAGGGAAUACGGAUGUCUAAAAUGGAAACUGAGUGUGUUUGGGAAUCACAUAGACUUGGUCAUUAUAAUUAUCAUUUUUGAGAACGGAUCUUGCUGUUUUUCAGCCUGGAGUGCAGUGACCCAAUCAGGGUUCACUAUUGCUUUGAUAUCCUGAGCUCAGGCGAUCCUCCUGCUUUAGCCUCCCAAGUGGCUGUGGCUGUAGGUACACACAACCCCACCUGGCUAAUUUAGACUUGGGUUUGAGUCUGUCCCUUGCUGUCGUUUAUGGGACUUGGGCAAUUUUCUUAACUGCAGAAUCUCAGUAUCUUCAUCUGGAAAAUGGCAGUAAUAGUACUGGUGGAUAAUGGGCAUCUGUGGCUUUGUCUGUCCAGUAUCCAUUCCCACUCUUUUUUUUCUUUUGAAAACAGAGCCUUGCUCUGUCACCUAGCCUGGAGUGCAGUGGCAUGAUCUUGGUUCACCAUAACCUUUGCCUUCCAGGUUCACAUGAUUCUUGUGUCUCAGCCACCCAAGUAGCUGGGACUACAGGUGCACACCACCAUUCCCGGCUAAUUUUUGUAUUUUUGGUAGAGAUGGGGCUUCACCGUGUUGGAAGGCUGGUCUCGAACUCUUGGCCUCAAGUGAUCAGCCCACCUUGGCCUCCCAGAGUGCUGGGAUUACAGGCGUGGGCCACCGUGCCUGGCCCAUUCCCACUCUUGAUUAACAUUCUUUGGUAUUACUUUGGAGAACUAUAUUGUGUGAUUUGGGUAGGACUGACUUUGCCUCACAGCUAGAAAAUGGACACAUAACACUGGCCAGGGCCACCCAUGCAGCACCUUCCUCAGGAUCCUUUACCUUUAUCUGUUGGAAAUUGUUGUAUUUCAUAUACAGAUCUAUGACAUAUAUGGUGUGAAUGGUGCCUCUUUCCAUGUGGUGCUUUGUAUAUUACACAACCUGUGCAACUGUACAAAGCUGCUCUGACCCUGGCUAACUAGAACAGUCUACCCUUGGCCACAGAUCAGGAAAGCAAAAGUGAUCCAGGAGAUAAUUGCUUGCUAGAAAAGGGAUGGAUUUCCUAAGCUCAAUGUUCUUUGGUUGCAAUGUAAAUAUAACUAUGUGCAAAGCAUCCAUCUGAGCCAUAUUGUGCCACCCUGGAAGGACAUGGUGUCACAGCAUCCAUGGGCUGUCACUUUGCCAGCUGGAAACCUCUGUGCCUGGCAGUGCCUUAUGCCUGAGUAUUGCUUGUGUCCUCUUGGCUCAUUCUACCCACUCAGCCUGGCAGGCUGUGUUCAGCUUGUGCUACCAGCCUGGAUCCCAUACCUGCCAAGGGCAAGCCAGGUAUGGAGCAGUGAGGGGUGUGUGGGUGAAUGAGUGUGGGGUCAGGUCACUAUGCACAGCUAGGCGUGCUGGCUGCUGUGGUGGGGUGGGCACUUCCAGGCACUAGCAUGGAUGCCAGCUUUGUGUGAGGCUGCGGCUGAACCAGAUGUACUGCACACCUUUGGCUGCAGCACCUGUGUCUGGAUGAGGGGAGCUUGGUGGUGCUCAGUAGCUUGGAGAUGCCAGGAACCAUAAAGCCCCAAAGAAGGUGUCCAUGCCCUGCUCAGGGAUGCCCUAAAUCUGGGCUCCCCAAAAGGCUGCUGCUCUUUUUUCUUUCUCAUUGCCCACAGUGUGGCGAGCAGGGGCUUGUGUUUUAGCCUUGUUUGUGUCACAGCACUUUGAGUCCUGCCAUUCAGCAGGUCCUGAGUUCUUGUCUCAUGUCCAGGAAGAAUGAGAUACUGAACAACUGGAGGGUGAGCAAGAUGGAAAGGAGCUUCACUGAGCAACAGAACAGCUCAGAGGAGACCUGCAGUGGGUAGCUCCUUUCCACAGCUGGUAGUCCUGUUGUCUGUGUGAGUCUGGCUUUUUUACAGGCCCAAAAGGGAGGAAGUGCAUGCUGAUUGGUCCAUGGGCGGCCAUGGGCAGCCCGGAAAAACAAGUUCUCACGCCGGGCCUUGAACUCUACUUGGAACUGGCAGCUCAGCCCCUAGGCUUCAGGCUGUCCCUGGCUCAAAGAUGGGGUUUCACCAGGGAUCUGUCCCCUUCCUGCCCAGGAACCUGUCUCCUGCCAUCAACAUGUCAUCCAUGGCACCCAGGAUGUUUGUGCCAAGGGACAUCUACAGGCCCACAUGGAGCCACUCUCAGCACCCCUUGGUCUCCCUGAGCUCGUUGGUGCCCAAAAUUUCAGAGGGGGCCAAGGUGAUGGGAAGGGGAAGGGGGAAUGCUGGCAUGUCAGCGCUCCCUCCAGUGCAUGCACACCCAGGUGGGUCAAAAUCGCACCUGGGCUCAGCUUCAACUUUGCUCUGAAAUUGGAGCAGGCACCAGGAGCAGGGAAAAGCCAGGGAGCAGUAGCAGGCUUUUGUAAACCAGCAGGGGCAGCGGGGCUUCCCGGACCCCCUAGAGUGCAGGGAUGCCUGGUUCUGGAGCUGUGGCUAGGCAGCUGCAGCUGUGCCCAGGAAUGUGGGGUUCCUACCCUGCCAACUUAGUAGGGGGUGGGGCUCCUUCUUGUUCCUGGCUCCUGCUGGCCCUGCAGAGCACGCAGCCUUGGCUGUGCCUCCCCUGCCACAGGCAGUGUCUUCCCGGGGGCCACUCUGGAGAGUCCAAUGCUGCCAUCACUGGGUUCAAGGGAAUCAAUGUAAAUACGCUGAUGCUUAUGAUGUUGUGCCAUCAUUGUUGUACCAUGAGUAACACAGUUCUUUGUAUCUGAUUCAGAAGUUGUGUGUCCUCUGGCAGCAUCUAUGAAAUAGUUUCAGGCUGACUUAUUAGCUCAAAAGACCAGACCUGAUACGAAUCCUCCCUCCAUUUUGGUUUCUCAGGCCAGAAAGAGUUGGGGUCUGUCACUUACAAUAGAAAAGUUGUAACAAACGCCGGGCACGGUGGCUCACGGGAGGCUGAGGCGGGUGGAUCACGAGGUCAAGAGAUCGAGAUCAUCCUGGUCAACAUGGUGAAACCCCGUCUCUACUAAAAAUAGAACAAAUUAGCUGGUCAUGGUGGUGCGUGCCUGUAAUCCCAGAUACUCAGGAGGCUGAGGCAGGAUAAUUGCCUGAACCCAGGAGGUGGAGGUUGCGGUGAGCCAAGAUCGUGCCAUUGCAUUCCAGCCUGGGAAACAAGAGCGAAACUCCGUCUCAAAAAAAAAAAAAUCUUUUGGCCAGGCGAGGUGGCUCAUGCUUGUAAUCUCAGCACUUUGAAAGGCUGAGGCAGGUGGAUCACCUGAAGUCAGGAGUUUGAGACCAGCCUGACCAACAUGGUGAAACCCCAUCUCUACUAAAAAUACAAAAGUUAGCUGGGCUUGGUGGUGGAUGCUUGUAAUUCCAACUACUCGGGAGGCUGAGGCAGGAGAAUCGCUUGAUCCUCAGUUGCACUGAGCCAAGAUUGUGCCACUACAGAGUGAAACUGGGUGGCAAGAGUGAAACUCCGUCUCAAAAAAAAAGCUUUUAAUCUAUAAAAGUUUCUCCUUCCUUUUAUUCUUCCUUAUCAUUUAUUUGUUGGAGAAACUACGUCCUUCACAUAGAAUUUCACAAAUUUUAGAUUAAGCUAAUUGUAUCCUUUGAUGGAGAUAAGCGUUCCUCUAGCUCUCAUAUUUCCACUACACUGGGAGUUAGGUAUAGAUCUGCACUGCUUGUGUGGUAGUCCCUAGUCACAUGUGGCUACUGAGCACUUCAAAUGUGGUUAGUAUGAAUUGAAAUGUGCUACGAAUGUAAAAUAUACAACCAGAAUUCAGACUAUGAAAAGAAUAGAAGAAUAUUGUAUUAAUAUUUUUGUAUUGAUUACAUAUUAAAAUAUUUUGGAUGUAUUACCUAAAAAUAUAUUUAAAAAUUAGUUUUUCCUCCUCAUUUUUACUUUUUAAAUGUGGUUACUGAAAAAUUUUUAAUUACAUAUGUAGCUUAUAUUUGUGUUGGACAGUGCUGAAGUUUUCGUUAGAUUCAGAUUCCACUUUUUUCUUUUUUAACAAGGGAACUUUCAUGCUGAUGUGGUAUACUUCUCUUUGCAUUCCAUCUGGGCGUGCAUAAUAUCCAGUUGUCCUACUGGUAGGGAUGUUACGAUUGCUCUGGUGAGAAAGAGAAAAGCUGACCUGGAACUCAUAGCUAAGACCUUAGUGUUCUGUUGAACAUCACCAAAUUCACAGAAUACCAGCAUAACGCAGGACCAAACUGUGACUAAUGGAGCAAGGUGAAACAAGACAACACCAUAACCAUGUCUGAGCGCAUGUACAAAGAAGUACAUUGUCCAAACCACUGAACACCUCCCUUUCUUGGCUAAUAUAAAUGGCAGUGGCUUCUUUACCAUUUACAGCUUUAACUUUACUUUGUUCUUUCUGCCUUUUUAGAUGAGAAUCAUUAACAUAUCCAAUUAUGGACUCACCCCUGCUUCCUGCAGCAAAGUUCUAUUUCCUUAAAAUUUUCCCCAAAUCAUUUCCACAAGCCCAGACCUUAUGAGUCCUUGCUAACACCCUGUUGAGAUGUCCCUGGCUCCCUUUGGCUUAUAUUUUCUCUUCUUGUAGUGAGGCAAUGAACACAAUGGAAUUGACUAAAGAUGUGUUUGGGGCAUUGACCAUGGGCUCAGGUAGUGUUGGCCUCAUCCUUCCAUUCUAAAGUUUGUUGGAUAAAUUUUUAAGCACAGGUACAAUUUUAUGCAAUUAAAUGUUUGGGAAUUACACAGUACUUAUUUGUGACUGUUGUGAUACUGGACAUAUCAGUUCCAACAAUUAUUGAAGCAAUUUUGCAAACAGACCUCAGCCCAUUUGUUUAUUAUAUUAGUUUGCUGGAAAUACCGUAAAAAAGUACCACAAAGUGGGUGACUUAAAACAGCAGUGCUACAGUUAGUUGUCUUGCAGUUCUGGGUGCUGGAAGUCCAGGUCAUGGUGUUGGCAAAGGUUGGCUCCUUCUAAGGGCUGUGAGAGGGAAUCUGUUCCCUGCCUCUCCCCUUGCUCCUGAUGGUUUGCCAGCAAUCUUUGUGUUCCUUGACUUGUAAACACAACAGCUCGCCUCUGCCUUCAUGUUCACCUGGAAUGCUUCCUGUGUCACUGCCUCUAAAAACGACCUCAUUUUAACUUGAUUAUCUCUGCAAAGAUUCUGUUUCCAAAUAGGAUCACAUUCUGAGGUACUGGGAGUUAGGACUUCAACAUGCAAAAUUUUCAGGGACACAAUUAAACUCAUAAUAGUAAUUCACAAGUAUUAGAAUCUUUCUGGUAGGUGUCAAUAGCCAUCAAUCUUAGAGGUAAGUGACGGUGAAUAUUUCUUGACAGUUUCACAACUGGUUUAUAUUAAAAGUGAAUUGUCAGCCAAAUUCUACAUACAUAUAGACAUUUAUUAAAUAAGCAUGUAUUAAAAAGUAGGCUCAGGAACAGUUCAUAAAACCUGUUUUAUAAUCUUGGGAAGUCCCAGACCUCUUUUCUUUAGGGGCUCUAACCAUACCACAUAUAAAGGAUUCAUCGUGGCAGAUACACCAGCUAGAGGCAAGAUUCAGCUAACUCUACAGUUGUACCAGCCAACCAGAAACCUCUGAAAUAGGACUGGACAUAGAAUCAUUUGUUAUUCUAGCCCUGUCUGCCAUUCUUACAGGCAAAGGUGAAGGACUCAUCCUAAUUGUGAUAAGAUGGGGAGUAUCUCUAAAAACAUUUUAUCUUGAACUGUACUAGUUUCACCAAUGGCUACAAUAGUAUCCAUUAUGCUAAUUAACAAGUCACUAAUUUCACCUAUAAAACCCUAUUAAUAGCAUUUAUUAUAAUUAGCAGAGCCUCUGUUGUUGAUUGAAGGUAGCUAAAGCCUUGUGAUAGCCCUCUCUGGUGUGUGGCAUUUUGAUUAAAUGCUAGCUGUGAAUUCUUGAUUAGGGCAACCAACUGUCCCUGGAGUAUAAAGACUAGCAAACACAUACAUUUACGUCACACUAUCUGAGCUAAAGUAUUUAAAAGUAAAUUACAGACAUAAUAACCAGACCACUCCAUUUAAGAGUAUAUUUGGGAGGUUACAUAAUAAACAGAUGCACAUUGGAGUGUAAAGACCAUGGAAUGGGGUCAAAUGUGCCCUUUCUCAGCUGUUUUUGUGACCUUGGGCAAUCAUUUAAGUUUUCUGGGUUUCAGUUUCUUCGUCCAUAAAAUGAAAGGCUUAGAUUGAAUGAUUCUUUCAGUUCCCUUUAGCACUUAUGUUCCACAAUUCAAUUCUAAGAGCUAACACAUCCACAUGUAUAAAAUAACAUAAUGCAGACUGAAUACAUGACUGUUGAGAAGUGGUGUAAGGGCGAGAUUGGAUUAGUCGAGAAAGACUUUGGAAAAAUGAGGCAAAACCAGUCAUUAGUGAAUUAUUUUAUUUGAUAACAUUUGUAUGUUUUUAUAUAUGUGUGCCUGUGUAUUUACACGUGUGUGUGUGUAUAUAUAUAUAUAUAUUUUUUUUUUCUUUCCUUUCUUUUUGCCUAUAAGCCCAAAAUGCACAUUUUGUGCAGAUCAAAAUGAUCCUUGGUACUUUAAGGCUCAACUUUGGGAUAUUAGACAUGAUUUGAGGUGACUUUGUUAGCUUUUAGAAUCUGUGAUUGGCAAACAGACAGGAUAUUGGUUUUGCUUGCUCGAAGUUGACAAGUGCUAGAGUGGCAGAUUUCUGACUUGGCUUCAAGUUCAAAAAAAAGCUACCAGUUUGGUUCUGUGCCUCCUUCAGUGAGGCUUGUAGUAAAUGGCUAUUUGUAAGACUAAAGCCUGAAUAAAGAUGUACAUUCCUUUUUGUUCAGAAAGCAAAAGGAAAAAACAUACUGAUUUCAAAUACCUUGAUUUAUGUAGUAUUCAAAUCCUAAAUAUUGCUGCAGGCACAUAAUUCAGACAAACCCCACUGGAAAAUUUUCUGUGCUUCAUUUGACAGUAUAUGCUUCAUAACAGUUCCCAGACAUUCUGCCCAGGGAUGCUAAAAGAUAAUGCAGUAGCUUCCUUUUGUCUAGGAUGCAAACACAUGCUGGACAGAGGCAGGAAGGGGACAAACUGAAAUAUCCACGAGGACUAGGCAAGUAAAGUCAGGCAUGAAACCGGCUGAUGUGAGUCAGUAGGAUGUGAUAGGGCAAGCCUGGCCCCACUGAAGGGGGAAGGCCACCACCCAGCUUCUGUGGAUGUGCCAAUGGGAAUUAUACAUCCAAGACUGACAGAUAUUCCACCAUUUACAGAGUUGCUAGAGAACUCAAUAUUUUAUCUUCCCCCAAAGCUGGAAAUCCAGAUUUUUGUGUGACAAUUCUUGAUAAUUGAAUGUUUUUAAUGAAUUUAAACUUUUAAAAAAGUUUUCUAGGUCGAAAAAAAUCAACUUGUACAAUGUAGACAUUUAGGCCAUUGGUUUAUGAUGGAAGAAACAAGGGCUUUAGAAACACCCGAGAAUAGUCAUAUAAAAUCACUUAUUGGCUAUGUAACAUCAGGUAGUGUAUUAGUCUGUUUUUACACGACACAUUCAGGACUGGGUAAUUUAAAAAGGAAAGAGGUUUAGUUGACUCACAGUUCCACAGGGCUGGGGAGACCUCAUAAAACUUACAAUCAUGGUGGAAGGGGAAGCAAACAUGUCCUUCACAUGGCGGCAGCAAGAAGAAGUGCAGAGUGAAGCUGGGGGAAAGACCCUUAUAAAACCAUCAGAUCUCAUGAGAACUCACUCAUUAUCAUGAGAAGAGCAUGGAGGUAACUGCCCCCAUGAUUCAGUUACCUCCCACUGGAUCCCUCCCACCACAUGUGGGGAUUAUGGGAACUACAGUUAAAGAUGAGAUUUGGGUGGAGAAACAGCCAAACCAUAGCAGGUAGGCAUUUGAGAUGUCUGAACCUUGUUUUUCUUACAAGUGAAAAAUUAGGUAUUUAAACCCAUGUGGUGGGGCUACUAUGAGCAUUGAAUGAGGGAAAGUGUUGACAAGGCACACAAUUACACCUGGAGUUUAGUUGAAUAAAUGUAGUAUCAUGUUUGUUCUUUCCAGAUACCUUUUAGACCAGUGAUUAUAAACUGGGUGCCCACAGGUCAAAUCCAGCCCACAAUUCCUUUGUAUUGGCAGCUUCCAACUAUCUGAGGAGUGGAGUAUUGGCCUCCUCCCUUAAAAGAAGGCAUGAGCUCUUCAGUUUGGUCACUGAUCCCACCAGUCUGCCAUUUUUAUUUUGCUACAUGCCUGAUCCUUCACCUAUCUGAGUUUGUGACCCCAGCAUAUAGGCUCCUGGCCUUGAACUUCAUAUAGUAUAUUUCCAAUCUCUGUUCAGUGAUAAGAAGCUUAAUAAUGCUAACUGUGGAGGGUCAUCAAAGACAUUACAUACACAAAGACUGGCUAGCACAAUCAGAAUCAUAGUUUAAUGGGAGUGUCACAUCUGAGGCUUCUCUGGCUGGUGCUUUCCAUGAUACUUAACUAACCUAGUGGAUUUUUUUGGCCUCAGUCUUCCGUGGCAUCAAUGCAUAAAUUCUCAUUUUCCCAGCAUACCCUGCGCUAAAAGCAUGAUAUGAAAAUCCAGCAAACCAUGUUUCCUCUAUCAAAUAAUAAUUACUAUUCUUUUUUUCUUAUUUUUUUUUUUUGAGACAGAGUCUCAUUAUCUUGCCCCGGCUGAUUUUGAACUCCUGGGCUCAUGCAGUCCUCCUGCUAAAGCCUCCUAAAAUGUUGGAAUUACAGACAUGAGCCACUGCACCUGGCCUAUCAAAUAAUAAUUAAAAAGUUAAAUCUCAGGUCUCAGAAAUAACAUGGCUUCCUCAGGAAAUGGCUGUGGAAAGACUUCCCACUGUGGCUUGAUGGUAGGCGGUAUGGAAAUGAAUGCAGAAGCAGUAAAAACAUGCGCAAACCCUAGACCCUAGAUCCUGAGACUCAAAGAAAUAUAAUGGGUGCCUGGUGGAUCUUAACAUUUUCAAGCCUGAAAAAUUGUCAUUUGGGGAAUUGUAAGCAGUUUGUGUCUUCUAGGAUAGAACAUACAACUUGUCUUUGGGGCUAUAUCAAUUAGAGUCAUUUGGUGCAAGCAACAGAAACAGAUUUUGGCUGAUGUUAGCAAAAGGGAUUUUAUUGGGUGGAUAUGGGAUGUCUCAAGGAACAGUAAUAAAAGUGAAUAAACUAUGGUCUAUGACAGAACUAGGAAUUAGAUGGCAAGAGCUACCAGACAGCCUCUUUGGGGCUGCUUUUAGAAUGAAUGAUCAUUCAUUUUCAGCCUCCAAGUCGCAUAGCUCAAGAUUCAGAUUAGAGGAAAGAUGGCCUGAUUUUUCAUCUUGGGUCUCUUGUUCAGAAGAAAGAUGGUCUAAUUUUUCAGCUUGGGUCUCUUGUUCACACAGGGGAGGAAGUGCACUUUGCUCAACAGUUUCACCAUAACUACCUAGCAUGGGGUUGAUUGGUCAAAACUGAAUUCCGAUGCUGGUUCCAGAAGAUGGAGACAUAGUGCCAAGAAGGCAACUGCCCCAGGGCAGUCCUUCUCUGCUCCAGGAGGGACUACUUCCCUAGACCUAUUGGUUAGGCAACUCUAAGGCAAGUAUGUCCUGUUUUGGGGGACAAGAUUGACUUAUACCUGUGUCAGAUUCCCAGAGAAGAGCAAUUGCUAAGAGUGGAUCAGGCAUCCCCUCCUGGCCCAGGGUGACUGCUUUAAGCAGCUUUAAACUUCGUGAUUUAAAAAACUAUUAGCAAGGUAUUGUAAAUGAUAAACUGAGAGGAUUUUCAGUACUGAUAGUAACCCUAAUUUACUUUUCUAGAGGGGAGGGAAAAGGAAUUCUGAUUGUUGAGAUCGCAAAAGAGAGCGGGCAUGCAUAGUUUAGCUUCCUUUUCCCCUUGGAAGCCAAUUGAUAGGAAGUCGAAGUGAAUCUUACAAAGGUUCUUAAAAUGUUCUUAAAAGUACUGAAACCACUGGGAGAGGUCCCCAAGACCCUUUCACCUCCUUUCAGCAGGUUCAAAAUAGUAUUUAUAAUAAUGAUAAGAUGUUAAAUUUGCCUUUUUCAUUGUGUUGACAUUUGCAUUGAUGGUACAAAAAUAAAGAUGGGUUAAACUGCUUGUGCCUUGCUGUGAACCAAGGCACAAAAAACUGGACUAGUUAUUGUUUUCUUUACCACCAUAUACUCAGGAAAAAAAACAAAAAACCAGAGUUUUAUUGAGGAAUAUCCUUGAUGAACACUGUUAAUUUUAUUCCGCUGCUGAAUGUCUUUCUUCUGCAUCAUAAAACACAGCGAUUGUUCAGAGGAAAAAUGCACUAGUGCUGUUGUGUGACUCAACUAAAUUUUCCCUCCAGGCACCAUUUUACUUGAAAGAAUGAUUGAACAACAAACCAUGAUUAUUCAAACUUGGGCAUUUGCCUGACGUUUUCUUUAACAAAGUGACUGUCAUUUCAAGGUAAACAACUGACAGUAUCUGUUGCUAAUAAUAAAAUUUGUGCUUACAAGCAAAAAUUCCAGUUUUACAAAACUUAUAUCCACUACCAUAGGCUUGACAGCUUUCCAAUACUUAAAGAUGUUCCUGAGGAUAUUGGCGGUGAUAUUAAUGAAUGCAGCUUUUGCAUACUGUAUAAUGAAAAUGAAAUAUGGUAACAUUUGGAAGAUCUGCUUGUGUCAGUGAACUAAAACUCUCCAGAUAUUCAAUGCCUAAUGUUACAAAGAGCUGUUCAAACUGCAACAGAGAUUAGAGGAUUUAAAUGUAACCAUUGAGAUGGUUUCAUAUCAAUAUUACAAUUAACCUUUAAGAAACUAUCACUUGUUGAGUUUUGAUGUGUAUCAAACCAUAAUAUCCAUAAUUAUCUGAAAGUUUUAAAAUAUUCCUCCCUUUUCCAACUGUAUAUUUGUGUGGGGCUGGAUUUGCUUCAUAUACUUCAAUCAAAACAAUCUUUUAGAAAACAAAGUGAAUGUGGAAGCAGUUAUGAAAAUCUGUCUCUAAUUAAGCCAGACAUUAAAGUUGUAAAAAUAUAAGACAACUGUGCUCUUUUUUUAAAUUUUGGAAAAUAUAUUUGUUUUUAUAAAAAUAUGUUAAUAUUUAAUGGAUUUCUUAUUUACAAAUGAAUUAGCAAAUAAAUAUUUAAAAUUUUUCCAUUUUAA
Callithrix jacchus (white-tufted-ear marmoset) is the source of this 19572-nucleotide non-coding RNA. NCBI's taxonomy places the organism in Eukaryota, Metazoa, Chordata, Mammalia, Primates, Cebidae. The record is from RefSeq and is a predicted model, not a curated record.